GUUUCCGUAGGUGAACGGUUCGCCUGCUGGAAGCCCCCGCAACGACUCUAUAAAGAAAUGCAUCAGUCCCCCCAUACAGGGUCGGCAACGCCAUCAAUCUGCGCUGGAAGUCCCCGAACCGGGGCCAUCGGCAGCUCCAUGCGUCGCUCUGGAGUUCACAGAUCAAACGAUAGCGGCCGCUUCGGCGGUUGAGAUAUGAUCGGCCUCGGCUGUCACCAGUCAAGAACGUGCGGAACCUGCGGAAGGAUCAUUACUGAGAGAGGGGCUCCGCGCUCCCGGGGGCUCCGGCCCCCAACUCUUCACCCGUUGUCUACCUACCUUCGUUGCUUUGGCGGGCCUCGGGUACCAUCCUGUGCCGGCCCAGCGGUCGGCGAGCGCCCGUCGGAGUCCCAUGAAAUUCUCCUCUAUCAGUGACGUCCGAGCGAAAACACAAUAAUCAAAACUUUCAACAACGGAUCUCUUGGUUCCAGCAUCGAUGAAGAACGCAGCGAAAUGCGAUAACUAAUGUGAAUUGCAGAAUUCAGUGAAUCAUCGAGUCUUUGAACGCACAUUGCGCCCCUCGGUAUUCCGGGGGGCAUGCCUGUUCGAGCGUCAUUACACCCCUCAAGCGUAGCUUGGUAUUGGGCCUCGCUCCCGCGGCGUGCCCGAAAAGCAGUGGCGGUCCGGCGUGACUUUAAGCGUAGUAAAACCUCAUCCCGCUUUGAAAGUCUGCCCCGCGACCGGCCAGACAACCCCAACAUUUUAACCAUUGACCUCGGAUCAGGUAGGGAUACCCGCUGAACUUAAGC
RNAcentral lists this ribosomal RNA (788 nucleotides) under Nephromopsis pallescens. Its description in RNAcentral is "partial 18S ribosomal RNA". The stretch from base 441 to 594 matches the Rfam family "5.8S ribosomal RNA". The record is from RNAcentral. Lineage: Eukaryota; Fungi; Ascomycota; Lecanoromycetes; Lecanorales; Parmeliaceae.